This 206-nucleotide ribosomal RNA is filed under the name uncultured bacterium. RNAcentral's name for it is "partial 16S ribosomal RNA". It matches the Rfam family "Bacterial small subunit ribosomal RNA", at positions 568 to 774 of the family's 1533-position model. The record is from RNAcentral.
CAUCUAGGCGGUCAAUCAAGCGAAGGUGAAAACUUGUGGCUCAACCAUAAGCUUGCCUACGAAACUGAUUAACUAGAGUACUGGAGAGGUGGACGGAACUACACGAGUAGAGGUGAAAUUCGUAGAUAUGUGUAGGAAUGCCGAUGAUGAAGAUAGUUCACUGGACAGAAACUGACGCUGAAGUGCGAAAGCUAGGGGAGCAAACA